RNAcentral lists this unclassified non-coding RNA (240 nucleotides) under soil metagenome. Its description in RNAcentral is "partial contains 5.8S ribosomal RNA, internal transcribed spacer 2, and large subunit ribosomal RNA". The record is from RNAcentral.
AACCUAGCACACCUGCGGUGUGUACCUGCGGAAGGAUCAUUAAAAAGAGUGUGUACCCCUCUGUAAAAUGAGUGGGUUACCUCCCGUCCUUUGUUGACCUCUUAGGAGGUUAUUUUGAACUUUCUGCUUCGGUGGGGUUAAACCUACCGGAACACCCUCAAAUUCUUAUCAUUUAAAAAUUGUUCAGUCUGAUUUUUGUUAAUAAAAACAAAAAACUUUCAGCAACGGAUCUCAGAUCGG